This 1372-nucleotide ribosomal RNA is filed under the name uncultured bacterium. Its description in RNAcentral is "bacterial SSU rRNA". It matches the Rfam family "Bacterial small subunit ribosomal RNA", at positions 28 to 1381 of the family's 1533-position model. The record is from RNAcentral.
GAUGAACGCUGGCGGCGUGCCUAAUACAUGCAAGUCGAGCGAACGGACGAGAAGCUUGCUUCUCUGAUGUUAGCGGCGGACGGGUGAGUAACACGUGGAUAACCUACCUAUAAGACUGGGAUAACUUCGGGAAACCGGAGCUAAUACCGGAUAAUAUUUUGAACCGCAUGGUUCAAAAGUGAAAGACGGUCUUGCUGUCACUUAUAGAUGGAUCCGCGCUGCAUUAGCUAGUUGGUAAGGUAACGGCUUACCAAGGCAACGAUGCAUAGCCGACCUGAGAGGGUGAUCGGCCACACUGGAACUGAGACGCGGUCCAGACUCCUACGGGAGGCAGCAGUAGGGAAUCUUCCGCAAUGGGCGAAAGCCUGACGGAGCAACGCCGCGUGAGUGAUGAAGGUCUUCGGAUCGUAAAACUCUGUUAUUAGGGAAGAACAUAUGUGUAAGUAACUGUGCACAUCUUGACGGUACCUAAUCAGAAAGCCACGGCUAACUACGUGCCAGCAGCCGCGGUAAUACGUAGGUGGCAAGCGUUAUCCGGAAUUAUUGGGCGUAAAGCGCGCGUAGGCGGUUUUUUAAGUCUGAUGUGAAAGCCCACGGCUCAACCGUGGAGGGUCAUUGGAAACUGGAAAACUUGAGUGCAGAAGAGGAAAGUGGAAUUCCAUGUGUAGCGGUGAAAUGCGCAGAGAUAUGGAGGAACACCAGUGGCGAAGGCGACUUUCUGGUCUGUAACUGACGCUGAUGUGCGAAAGCGUGGGGAUCAAACAGGAUUAGAUACCCUGGUAGUCCACGCCGUAAACGAUGAGUGCUAAGUGUUAGGGGGUUUCCGCCCCUUAGUGCUGCAGCUAACGCAUUAAGCACUCCGCCUGGGGAGUACGACCGCAAGGUUGAAACUCAAAGGAAUUGACGGGGACCCGCACAAGCGGUGGAGCAUGUGGUUUAAUUCGAAGCAACGCGAAGAACCUUACCAAAUCUUGACAUCCUUUGACAACUCUAGAGAUAGAGCCUUCUCCUUCGGGGGACAAAGUGACAGGUGGUGCAUGGUUGUCGUCAGCUCGUGUCGUGAGAUGUUGGGUUAAGUCCCGCAACGAGCGCAACCCUUAAGCUUAGUUGCCAUCAUUAAGUUGGGCACUCUAAGUUGACUGCCGGUGACAAACCGGAGGAAGGUGGGGAUGACGUCAAAUCAUCAUGCCCCUUAUGAUUUGGGCUACACACGUGCUACAAUGGACAAUACAAAGGGCAGCGAAACCGCGAGGUCAAGCAAAUCCCAUAAAGUUGUUCUCAGUUCGGAUUGUAGUCUGCAACUCGACUACAUGAAGCUGGAAUCGCUAGUAAUCGUAGAUCAGCAUGCUACGGUGAAUACGUUCCCGGGUCU